RNAcentral lists this ribosomal RNA (253 nucleotides) under uncultured bacterium. RNAcentral's name for it is "partial 16S ribosomal RNA". It matches the Rfam family "Bacterial small subunit ribosomal RNA", at positions 524 to 776 of the family's 1533-position model. The record is from RNAcentral.
UACGGGGGGGGCAAGCGUUGUUCGGAAUUACUGGGCGUAAAGGGCUCGUAGGUGGCCAACUAAGUCGGACGUGAAAUCCCUCGGCUUAACCGGGGAACUGCGUCCGAUACUGGUUGGCUUGAGUUUGGGAGAGGGAUGCGGAAUUCCAGGUGUAGCGGUGAAAUGCGCAGAUAUCAGGAGGAACACCGGUGGCGAAGGCGGAUCUCUGGGCCUUACCUGACGCUCAGGCGCGAAAGCUAGGGGAGCGAACAGG